UCGACCGCUGUGGCAUUGGUGAGCGCUGCCUGUGGCGUUCCCGUCGCCAAACACGGCAACCGUGCCGCCAGUUCCAAAUCCGGCGCGGCUGAU
This 93-nucleotide transfer RNA is filed under the name Micavibrio sp. Its description in RNAcentral is "tRNA-Gly". The record is from RNAcentral. Lineage: Bacteria; Pseudomonadati; Bdellovibrionota; Bdellovibrionia; Bdellovibrionales; Pseudobdellovibrionaceae.